UACGGGGGGAGCAAACGUUGUUCGGAAUCACUGGGCGUAAAGGGCGCGUAGGCGGCCUGUUAAGUCGGACGUGAAAUCCCUCGGCUCAACCGGGGAACUGCGUCCGAUACUGGCGGGCUUGAAUUCGGGAGAGGGAUGUGGAAUUCCAGAUGUAGCGGUGAAAUGCGUAGAUAUCUGGAGGAACACCGGUGGCGAAAGCGAUCCGCUGGACCCUCUCUGACGCUGAGGCGCGAAAGCCAGGGGAGCGAACGGG
Molecule: ribosomal RNA, 253 nt
Filed under: uncultured bacterium
Lineage: Bacteria
Description: partial 16S ribosomal RNA
Rfam family: Bacterial small subunit ribosomal RNA
Source: RNAcentral